GAAGUAGGAAUCGCUAGUAAUCGCAGGUCAGCAUACUGCGGUGAAUACGUUCCCGGGCUUUGUACACACCGCCUGUCACACCAUGGAAGUUGGCCAUGCCCGAAGUCGUUACUCCAACCUUUGUGGAGGAGGACGCCGAAGGUGGGGUUAAUGACUGGGGUGAAGUGGUAACAAGGUAGCCGUACCGGAAGGUGCGGCUGGAUCACCUCUUAA
This 213-nucleotide ribosomal RNA is filed under the name uncultured cyanobacterium. RNAcentral describes it as "partial 16S ribosomal RNA". It matches the Rfam family "Bacterial small subunit ribosomal RNA", at positions 1322 to 1533 of the family's 1533-position model. Lineage: Bacteria; Bacillati; Cyanobacteriota. The record is from RNAcentral.